RNAcentral lists this long non-coding RNA (213 nucleotides) under Mus spicilegus (steppe mouse). Its description in RNAcentral is "lncRNA (ENSMSIG00000017275.1)". Lineage: Eukaryota; Metazoa; Chordata; Mammalia; Rodentia; Muridae. The record is from RNAcentral.
GAAAUAUAACUUUGAUCCUGCUCUCCGAUCUUUAUGCUCUGGUGUUUCGUUGCCUGAACUCCCUGUCCUUUGCAAACGAAGAGAAGAUGAGCAGAAACUUAAAGCUGUCAGACUUGGUUACCUGCUACCAGCUCCGCCGCAGACCAGGUAGGCGAGUCAGAGACUAAUAGGAGGCUUGUCAUGGGUAUUUUCUGUAUUAGCUCUGUGCCUCCU